RNA transcript from Syzygium oleosum, 1951 nucleotides. It is a transcript of the gene named GATA transcription factor 24, with no coding region annotated. The record is from RefSeq and is a predicted model, not a curated record. Lineage: Eukaryota; Viridiplantae; Streptophyta; Magnoliopsida; Myrtales; Myrtaceae. The transcript is spliced from 12 exons.
GAACACGUCGGGUCGCUCUCCCCUGGCGUGUCCUCUUUCCAUUUUCAGGCCCGCCUCUCUCGAUUUCGGUCGGCCAAAUUCAAUCGAACGAAAAUCGACACCACCAUCCCCCCCGAAAAAUUAGGGUUCAUCAGUCGCCGUCGAUGAUGCCCGCUCAAUGGAACAGUUUCCGCCCUUGAGCAGCUGCUCCUCCUCCUCCUCCGGCGUUCGUUUCCGGCUCGGGCCCCGUCGUCGCCGGCGCUAGGUUUUUUCCCCCGGCGUUCUUCCCCCGUGUGAUUUUUUCCGGUCGUUUUGUGUUUCCGUCGCUCCCGGCCGGUUCGUCUAUGGCGAGCGCGAAUCCGGCGCACUUGCGGGCGCGCGGCGGGCCGGUGAGGGUCGAGGAGGCGGAGGAGGACGACGAGGAGGAGCUCGAGGACGGGGGCACCGACGACGGCGCCGAUGAGGUGGAGGUGGAGGCCGGUGGAGUUUAUGCGGAUUCCGUGGGGGGGGACUAUGACCGCCGUCGGCGUCGUCGCCGCGGUAGUAUCGCGAGUGGCGGCGGGACGAGGGGUGGUGUCGUGGCGCCUUCGAGGACGAGCGAGCUCACGCUCUCUUUCGAAGGGGAAGUGUACGUGUUCCCGGCUGUUACGCACGAAAAGGUGCAGGCAGUGCUUUUGCUUCUAGGAGGACCCGAUGUACCAACCGCUGUGCCUACAUUUGAAGUCCCUUAUGCUCAAAGUACUAUGGAUGUGGUUGACACGUCAAAGCGGUCUAAUCUUUCCAGAAGAAUAGCCUCUUUGGUUAGGUUUCGGGAGAAGCGCAAGGAGAGAUGUUUUGACAAGAAGAUUAGGUAUACUGUGCGAAAAGAGGUUGCCCAGAGGAUGCAUCGGAAAAAUGGGCAGUUUGCUUCAAUAAAAGAAGGUUCAGGUGCCAGUAGUUUGGAUUUAGCCCAAAGUUGUCAUCAGGAUGGUACUCCCCCUCCAGAAACUGUUGCCCGGAGAUGUCAACAUUGUGGUGUUAGUGAAAAUGCAACUCCUGCUAUGCGUCGUGGGCCAGCUGGACCAAGGACUUUAUGUAAUGCCUGUGGUUUAAUGUGGGCGAAUAAGGGAACAUUGAGGGAUCUCAGUAAGGGAGGAAGAAAUCUUUCUCUAGACCAAAGUGAACUGGGAACCCCAGAUGUCAAGCCUUUGAUUAUUGAUGGUCAACAUUUCUCUAGCAAUAAGGAUGAUCUUUCCAUGCAGGUAAUUUCUGGAGAGACUUCUACAGCUGACAUUAAGAGAUUAUCUGAUCCUUCAAUCAACCCCAGUGGUGAAGUAGACGAUCAAAUGGACUUUCGUGAAACUGCUGCCGAUCUAACAAGCACGUUGCCCAUGGGAAUCAUGCAUUCUUCAGCUGAUGAUGAUGAGCAGGACUUAUCAUGGUCUUCAUUUGAAAGGUUAGACAAAGAACCUCUGAGUACUCAUCUUCAGAGGGCCCCACCAAAACCUUCAGCAUAUCCGAGAAAAAGUUACCACUUAGCUGUCAUCAGUGGAUUCUGAGAAAGUUUUAUUUCACAGGAACUCUGGUUGAGCUUGCUAAUCCAUCAGAUACAGACAUCGAUAUUCCUGCUAACUUUGAUUAGAAGGUUAUAAGUUACCUUCUCUUUGGAAAAGAUUGGUGAAUCCUAGAGGCUGUGCUUGUGACCACCAUGCAAUCAAAUCUUGUGAGCUGAGGGUGAUACUUUUAUUAACUCUAGCCGUGAUUAAUUUUAAACCUAUUGUAUGUAUGAAAACUAGAUAGUGUGAAUGCAUCCUACCAGCCUAUUCCCUGUAAUUUGCCUUUCAGGGCUGUAGUUAAGGCAUAUGUUAGCGUUUGUGAUUAACAUAGCUUGACAUAGACAUGUGCUGCAUGGGUUGCUCUCUUGAGACAUCCCCCAAUGUAAAUUUAAAGAAGCAGCACUUCAGUAAUCAAUAGCAAGGCUCAUUCAUCUUAA